CGUAGUAGUCUCCUAAUUAUCAUGAAAUAGUAGUACGUGCAUAAAGCCCCAACACACACACGCACCCGCACGGGUGUGUGUGUGUGUGUGUAUGAUGAGCCAUCAAUCGAAAUUCAAUUUCAGGAAUUUAUUCCCUUAGAACAAUUUAAAUUCUCAUGCGAUCGAUCAGAUCGCAUCUUCUUCACAUAUUUUCUUAUCGAUCCAAUCACAGGGUAAAUUAAUUAGCUGUUUUUUUUCUUCUUUUAUUGUUUUUCUAUUAUUUUAUUGAGCCAAUUAAUUAUAUUAUAUAUAUAAUUAUAAUUAUGCAGGAAAUUGUUGCAUAUACUGAAAAGCAUUAAAUUUUCUUGUCGUCAAAUAAUUGCAGGAAAAAAGUCCAGCAAGCCUCAUAAUAACGUUUACAACCAGGCAAGUAAUUGUUUUUUAUAUUUGGUAUAUAUGCUAUUUAUUUUCCCAGCACCAAAAUAUUAAUUCUCUGCAAACACC
RNAcentral lists this long non-coding RNA (483 nucleotides) under Erythranthe guttata (spotted monkey flower). RNAcentral describes it as "long non-coding RNA (EGUT_LNC001974)". The record is from RNAcentral. Lineage: Eukaryota; Viridiplantae; Streptophyta; Magnoliopsida; Lamiales; Phrymaceae.